AUUGAACGCUGGCGGCAGGCUUAACACAUGCAAGUCGAGCGGAGCGGCGGACGGGUGAGUAAUGUCUGGGAAACUGCCUGAUGGAGGGGGAUAACUACUGGAAACGGUAGCUAAUACCGCAUACUAUUAGAGCGGCCGAUAUCGGAUUAGCUAGUUGGUGGGGUACCGGCUCACCAAGGCGACGAUCCGUAGCUGGUUUGCGAGGACGACCAGCCACCCUGGGACUGAGACACGGCCCAGACUCCUACGGGAGGCAGCAGUGGGGAAGUUUGGACAAUGGGGGAAACCCUGAUCCAGCCAUCCCGCGUGUGCGAUGAAGGCCUUCGGGUUGUAAAGCACUUUUGGCAGGAAAGCGGUACCUGCAGAAUAAGCACCGGCUAACUACGUGCCAGCAGCCGCGGUAAUUC
Molecule: ribosomal RNA, 407 nt
Filed under: uncultured bacterium
Lineage: Bacteria
Description: partial 16S ribosomal RNA
Rfam family: Bacterial small subunit ribosomal RNA
Source: RNAcentral